AUUGAACGCUGGCGGCAUGCCUUACACAUGCAAGUCGAACGGCAGCACGGGAGCAAUCCUGGUGGCGAGUGGCGAACGGGUGAGUAAUGUAUCGGAACGUACCUUUCAGUGGGGGAUAACGUAGCGAAAGUUACGCUAAUACCGCAUAUUCUGUGAGCAGGAAAGCAGGGGAUCGCAAGACCUUGCGCUGAUUGAGCGGCCGAUAUCAGAUUAGCUAGUUGGUGAGGUAAAGGCUCACCAAGGCGACGAUCUGUAGCGGGUCUGAGAGGAUGAUCCGCCACACUGGAACUGAGACACGGUCCAGACUCCUACGGGAGGCAGCAGUGGGGAAUUUUGGACAAUGGGCGCAAGCCUGAUCCAGCCAUGCCGCGUGAGUGAAGAAGGC
This 385-nucleotide ribosomal RNA is filed under the name uncultured bacterium. Its description in RNAcentral is "bacterial SSU rRNA". It matches the Rfam family "Bacterial small subunit ribosomal RNA", at positions 30 to 415 of the family's 1533-position model. The record is from RNAcentral.